UACGAAGGGAGCUAGCGUUGUUCGGAAUCACUGGGCGUAAAGCGCACGUAGGCGGACUUGUCAGUCAGGGGUGAAAUCCCGGAGCUCAACUUCGGAACUGCCUCUGAUACAGCAAGUCUCGAGUCCGGAAGAGGUGGGUGGAAUUCCUAGUGUAGAGGUGAAAUUCGUAGAUAUUAGGAAGAACACCGGUGGCGAAGGCGGCCCACUGGUCCGGUACUGACGCUGAGGUGCGAAAGCGUGGGGAGCAAACAGG
RNAcentral lists this ribosomal RNA (253 nucleotides) under uncultured bacterium. RNAcentral's name for it is "partial 16S ribosomal RNA". It matches the Rfam family "Bacterial small subunit ribosomal RNA", at positions 524 to 776 of the family's 1533-position model. The record is from RNAcentral.